UGGCACUGUUCGUAACCUGUCAGCAGCACCUUCCUGCUCAUGGGUUCCAUUCCGGUGCUACAUGAAACCCGAAGAUAAUGAAAGACUGGUGGGUUCUCUGCCCGUCCACGUUAUUUUGGGGGACAUCC
Molecule: small nucleolar RNA, 128 nt
Organism: Prinia subflava (tawny-flanked prinia)
Lineage: Eukaryota; Metazoa; Chordata; Aves; Passeriformes; Cisticolidae
Source: RefSeq, a predicted model, not a curated record